This 323-nucleotide ribosomal RNA is filed under the name uncultured eukaryote. Its description in RNAcentral is "partial 18S ribosomal RNA". It matches the Rfam family "Eukaryotic small subunit ribosomal RNA", at positions 1470 to 1796 of the family's 1831-position model. The record is from RNAcentral.
CCCUUAGAUGUUCUGGGCCGCACGCGCGCUACACUGAUGCAUUCAACGAGUUUCUUCCUGGUCCGAGAGGAAUGGGUAACCUUUUGAAAGUGCAUCGUGAUAGGGAUAGACUAUUGCAAUUAUUGGUCUUCAACGAGGAAUUCCUAGUAGACGUAGUUCAUCAGACUGCAUCGAUUACGUCCCUGCCCUUUGUACACACCGCCCGUCGCUCCUACCGAUUGAAUGUUCCGGUGAGCUCUUCGGACUGCGCGGUCUGCAGUUUCAGCGUUCCGUGCGGAAAGUUGCGCAAACCUUAACAUUUAGAGGAAGGAGAAGUCGUAACA